AGAUUAUGAUUUCUUUGGGCUGUUAGUUAUUUAUUGUUUAUUGAUGCAAUGUGGGUCAUCUCAUUACUGAAAGCAUCAUAUGCUGUCGUGGUUCUUGCUUUGGACAUCAGAGGAGGGAACCGACGCUGAGGUUUUCCAGAAGGACACCACGGCCUUCACAGUCCAGCUGAGAGCGAUGCUCUACUCUCUGUCUUGGAAUUUUACAUUUUGAUGAAGGAGGAAGCUCGUCAGCCAAUCAGAGAGGCGGGAGCUGGAGCGGACCAUCGCGGCUCAGACGGCAGGGGGGUUCGGGGUCGUCUCGGCGGGCCGCCUACCCGCCACGCAGCUCAACGUCCCCGCGUCUCGCGUUGGCAGGUGGUACGACCCAGCGUGCGGGAUAAAAGCCCCCUCCUCCUCUGGCUGUGGUCCCCCCUACCCCCCCCCCCGUUCUGACAGCGUUAGGGUGUAGCUACAGAUGCUGUACUACAGCAGAAGACAGUGAGAGGAGUGGAAGGGAGGAGGGACAAACCGGGCUCAUUCCCACACAACGACCAGCUCCGGGGGGGCCGCCAGCACCCGCUCCUCUGCUUCACCAGUCAUCCCACCCACCCGUCCAGCUGGCGGGGCCACCUGCAGGAGUCAUCAGGAUGCAGAGCUGAGUCUGCGCCCCCCGGGGAGGGCUCGCCCAAGUGGAAUGCCUCCCCGGUUCUCCCUCCGUCAGAGCGCCAUCUGCUGACUCGGUGCGGAGGGACAGCUGGUGUUGUGAAUCAGGCCGCCACAGUCCAGGGACCGGCUACUUCCCAACACCAGGGUCUCAUCGCCGCCGCUCACGCCGCAGACCUCACGGGGUCUGAUGACGUUCCCAGAAAUGCAGCUUUGGUUCCUGAUGCUCUGAUGAAGAUGAUAAAACGACAUAAAUGAAUGUGGUUUUGUUUUCAAUAAAACUCUAACAUACAUCAUCCUUUUUCUCUCUUGCUUGUGGUGGAAAUAACACCCUUUCAUUCUUAUAGUGAAACAUUACAUUUCUAUAACAUACGGUGUGUUGAAGUUUUCACUAAACAUAAAAAGGCAUUUUGAAUAAAUGAGUGAAAGUGUGUAUACCUGCUUUAAAGGGCAGCCUAAAAUCAAAGCCACAAACACGCCUGAUGAAUAACAUGAGACGGCUGCUGGCUGUAAUCUCAGCUCUCCGAAACGGUUCAAACUUCCUGUGUUAAAGAGAUUUCAUUCUUCUUUCACUGCUGGAUGUUAAUGUUUGACUGAAAACACUUUAUAUAUAUUUCAGAUCAACAAAUGUGUAAAUUCAGGACUUUGAUGAAACAGGACAGUUUAUGUAAAGCUAAACAUGUUGACCCUCACAGUGAAAUAAAUAACAAAAUUAUUUUUCAGAAGGAAUUAAAAAU
Molecule: long non-coding RNA, 1379 nt
Filed under: Oryzias javanicus (javanese ricefish)
Lineage: Eukaryota; Metazoa; Chordata; Actinopteri; Beloniformes; Adrianichthyidae
Source: RNAcentral